AGAUAGGAGGGUGAUCUGGCGGUGUCAUUGAUCACCAGGGUUGAUUUGGCAGAUCUGGCAUCUGGAUGGAUAUCCCCUUCCUCCCUUUCCUCUCUAUGUGUAUCCUUCCCAAACUAUGUGCUUGGUCAAAGAGGACAAUCUUUUCCAGUACAGGUGAACGAUUCUUUUGUCAAGGGUAUAUGAGUAUAUGUGUCCCCCCCACUGCUAGAACCUACAAACCAGUUCUCAAGAGGCAUUUUUAAAAAUUUGUGGGAUGAUAAUGGACAGCGGAGUAGUAAGAUUUGAUUGCAUCUUUC
This 296-nucleotide small nuclear RNA is filed under the name Castor canadensis (American beaver). RNAcentral describes it as "7SK RNA (ENSCCNG00000000815.1)". It matches the Rfam family "7SK RNA". From Rfam's summary of the family: 7SK was discovered as an abundant small nuclear RNA in the mid-70s but a possible function has only recently been suggested. Two independent studies have found that 7SK RNA binds the CDK9/cyclin T complex (known as elongation factor P-TEFb). P-TEFb activates transcription by phosphorylating the C-terminal domain of RNA polymerase II. The record is from Rfam by way of RNAcentral. Lineage: Eukaryota; Metazoa; Chordata; Mammalia; Rodentia; Castoridae.